ACUGAGACACGGCCCAGACUCCUACGGGAGGCAGCAGUGGGGAAUAUUGCACAAUGGGCGCAAGCCUGAUGCAGCGACGCCGCGUGCGGGAUGACGGCCUUCGGGUUGUAAACCGCUUUUGACAGGGACGAAGCGCAAGUGACUGUACCUGUAGAAUAAGGACCGGCCAACUACGUGCCAGCAGCCGCGGUAAUACGUAGGGUCCGAGCGUUGUCCGGAAUUACUGGGCGUAAAGAGCUUGUAGGCGGUUCGUCGCGUCGUUUGUGAAAACUUGGGGCUCAACCUUAAGCUUGCAGGCGAUACGGGCGGACUAGAGUACUUCAGGGGAGACUGGAAUUCCUGGUGUAGCGGUGAAAUGCGCAGAUAUCAGGAGGAACACCGGUGGCGAAGGCGGGUCUCUGGGAAGUAACUGACGCUGAGAAGCGAAAGCAUGGGUAGCAAACAGGAUUAGAUACCCUGGUAGUCCAUGCCGUAAACGGUGGGUACUAGGUGUGGGGCUCCUUCCACGGACUCCGUGCCGUAGCUAACGCAUUAAGUACCCCGCCUGGGGAGUACGGCCGCAAGGCUAAAACUCAAAGAAAUUGACGGGGGCCCGCACAAGCGGCGGAGCAUGUGGAUUAAUUCGAUGCAACGCGAAGAACCUUACCUGGGUUUGACAUACACCGGAAACCUGCAGAGAUGUAGGCCCCCUUGUGGUCGGUGUACAGGUGGUGCAUGGCUGUCGUCAGCUCGUGUCGUGAGAUGUUGGGUUAAGUCCCGCAACGAGCGCAACCCUUAUCUUAUGUUGCCAGCGCGUAAUGGCGGGGACUCGUGAGAGACUGCCGGGGUCAACUCGGAGGAAGGUGGGGACGACGUCAAGUCAUCAUGCCCCUUAUGUCCAGGGCUUCACACAUGCUACAAUGGCCGGUACAGAGGGCUGCGAUACCGCGAGGUGGAGCGAAUCCCUUAAAGCCGGUCUCAGUUCGGAUCGGGGUCUGCAACUCGACCCCGUGAAGUUGGAGUCGCUAGUAAUCGCAGAUCAGCAACGCUGCGGUGAAUACGUUCCCGGGCCUUGUACACACCGCCCGUCACGUCAUGAAAGUCGGUAACACCCG
Molecule: ribosomal RNA, 1094 nt
Filed under: Nocardia fluminea
Lineage: Bacteria; Bacillati; Actinomycetota; Actinomycetes; Mycobacteriales; Nocardiaceae
Description: bacterial SSU rRNA
Rfam family: Bacterial small subunit ribosomal RNA
Source: RNAcentral